RNAcentral lists this non-coding RNA (123 nucleotides) under bovine gut metagenome. RNAcentral describes it as "FMN riboswitch (RFN element)". It matches the Rfam family "FMN riboswitch aptamer (RFN element)". From Rfam's summary of the family: The RFN element is a highly conserved domain that is found frequently in the 5'-untranslated regions of prokaryotic mRNAs that encode for flavin mononucleotide (FMN) biosynthesis and transport proteins. The record is from RNAcentral.
GUUUCAGGGCGUGGUGAAAGUCCACACCGGCGGUGAUCACAGGAGGCAUCCUGCGUAAGUCCGCGAGCAAUUGGCCGAACCGGUGAGAUUCCGGUACCGACGGUAUAGUCCGGAUGAAAGAAA